AUGACACCAGGGUUGAGUCUGCUCAGCUUUAAGAAGGAAAUGCAUGUGUAUUUUUGCAUGCCCUUAUUUGUGUCAGAAUAUUUUUUCCACCCUUUCUCAUUCACACCUCUUCUCACUUUCCAGAGUCCCCGUGUCAGCCUCAUCCAUGCUCUGUCCAUGCUGGGUUACGAUAACUCUUCUACUGCCACAUCUUCUGCUUUGAGGGUGUUCUCCUCUGCUGACCAAUGGAUGAGAAAAAAAGAAAACAGCUCAUGUUGCCUUUUGCCUCAUCAGAAAUGCAUUCAUCUGCCUAAUAUCUCCCCAUCCUGUCAGGCCACAAAUGCUACUUCAAUCGAUCCCAAUAUGAAGAUUGCAAAGGAGACAGAGUGGAUUAAAUUACUUGGCUGA
This 387-nucleotide long non-coding RNA is filed under the name Callithrix jacchus (white-tufted-ear marmoset). RNAcentral describes it as "lncRNA (ENSCJAG00000084468.1)". The record is from RNAcentral. Lineage: Eukaryota; Metazoa; Chordata; Mammalia; Primates; Cebidae.